AGGGCCAUAGAGCAUUGAAACACCGUUUCCCCUAUGAUCACCGAAGUUAAGCAACGUCGAGCCUGGUCAGUACUUAGAUGGGUGACUACUUAGAAAUACCAGGUACUGUAAG
RNAcentral lists this ribosomal RNA (112 nucleotides) under Acanthosepion pharaonis. Lineage: Eukaryota; Metazoa; Mollusca; Cephalopoda; Sepiida; Sepiidae. The record is from RNAcentral.